This 431-nucleotide ribosomal RNA is filed under the name uncultured bacterium. RNAcentral describes it as "partial 16S ribosomal RNA". It matches the Rfam family "Bacterial small subunit ribosomal RNA", at positions 29 to 507 of the family's 1533-position model. The record is from RNAcentral.
AACGAACGCUGGCGGCAGGCUUAACACAUGCAAGUCGAGCGCCUCGCCAGAGGAGCGGCAGACGGGUGAGUAACGCGUGGGAACGUACCCUUAUCUUCGGAAUAGCCCUGGGAAACUGGAAGUAAUACCGAAUGUGCCCUUAGGGGGAAAGAUUUAUCGGAUAAGGAUCGGCCCGCGUUGGAUUAGCUAGUUGGUGGGGUAAAGGCCUACCAAGGCGACGAUCCAUAGCUGGUCUGAGAGGAUGAUCAGCCACAUUGGGACUGAGACACGGCCCAAACUCCUACGGGAGGCAGCAGUGGGGAAUAUUGGACAAUGGGCGCAAGCCUGAUCCAGCCAUGCCGCGUGAGUGAUGAAGGCCUUAGGGUUGUAAAGCUCUUUCACCGGAGAAGAUAAUGACGGUAUCCGGAGAAGAAGCCCCGGCUAACUUCGUG